RNAcentral lists this long non-coding RNA (1123 nucleotides) under Coffea arabica (coffee). RNAcentral's name for it is "long non-coding RNA (CARA_LNC006440)". Lineage: Eukaryota; Viridiplantae; Streptophyta; Magnoliopsida; Gentianales; Rubiaceae. The record is from RNAcentral.
UCCUGCAAGAAUAGGAAACAAUAAAGUUUCAGCAAUGAAAUACUACUUCCAGAUCCAGAUAUGGCCGAUACAAGAUUUUUUCUGGACAAGACAGACUACUAGCUAGCAGACCAUGGACAUAUGAUAUGGAUCAGAAACGACCAAACAUGACAGAAACUCUUAUAUGAAAAUUAAAAAAAAAAAGCCUUAAAAACAAGGAUUCAGAGUGUUUAUCGGUGUCAGCGACUACUUUCUCCAAAUUAAGCGUCUAAUAUAUUGAUAAAGCUGUGCAGUGGACGUGGAAAAGUAAUUAAUUUCCAUAAGCUCCCAUUGGCAUAAUACUAAAAUCACAGACCAAAAAUGUAUGGUUGUUAAGGAAAACCAAACCCUUCCAAAACCUACAAUGGCAGGUGCUUCCCUGGAUAGGCUUGACCUUAUUUCAAAUACUACAACCAUUUAUUCAAUUAACUCCAGUUGGAAAUUCACUCCCUGACAGCCUUACUGAUUAAUUUUGCAGAUCACAUUCCAUAAUUCAACCAAAUGCAGAAAAGAAUAAACAUAUAAAUGAAAUUAGGCAAAGGCUAAGCAGUAAUUAUCCAAUUACCGAGCUUAGUAUUAACAUAUAUUGUAUCGCAACAAAGAGGAGGAGGAGGAGAAAUAUGAGUACUUGGCGGGGAUAAGAGCAAGAUAUGAAGAAGCAGUAGGAAUAAUCUGCACAACAAUGUGGCCGCCCACAAGCACCACGGCAAGCCCUUUACACAACUUAGUGAAGCCCCCUGUCAACACGCCCUAAUUCCAAAUACAACGCACCCAAUUCUCAAUCAAUUUCACAGAUCUAAGUUCAAUAAGGAAAACCAAACCCUUCCAAAACCUACAAUGGCAGGUGCUUCCCUGGAUAGGCUUGACCUUAUUUCAAAUACUACAACCAUUUAUUCAAUUAACUCCAGUUGGAAAUUCACUCCCUGACAGCCUUACUGAUUAAUUUUGCAGAUCACAUUCCAUAAUUCAACCAAAUGCAGAAAAGAAUAAACAUAUAAAUGAAAUUAGGCAAAGGCUAAGCAGUAAUUAUCCAAUUACCGAGCUUAGUAUUAACAUAUAUUGUAUCGCAACAAAGAGGAGGAGGAGGAGAAAUAUGAGUACUUGG